RNAcentral lists this long non-coding RNA (5014 nucleotides) under Brassica napus (rape). RNAcentral describes it as "long non-coding RNA (BNAP_LNC019921)". Lineage: Eukaryota; Viridiplantae; Streptophyta; Magnoliopsida; Brassicales; Brassicaceae. The record is from RNAcentral.
UCCCGGUUUACAGUCGCUUUCAGCAACAGUGUAUUUGUCAAGGGUGAUGCCCAGCGUCUGUUCAUCUUCUCGUCUUCGCAUGAAUCUUCUUCUUUGGCUGCCAAUCUCCACAUGACUAUACCUUCGUUGAGCUUGUCUCACGUCUCCGAUUGUCCUUCCGUCCAUGGCUUUGUCGGUUGUUGUCAUGGUUUUCAGUUCACUAUAUGUAACCCUAGCACGGGUCAAGCCUUUACCUUGCCCUGUAAAGGAAACCGCACAUCCUUGGGAUACGAUCCUGUUGAUGGUCAAUUCAAAGCAUUGUCUUUGGUGCCUACUCCUGUCCGGGGUUAUCAUAUUUGUGUUGUGCACGAGGUUAUAAAACUUGGAGGAGGAGGAGGAGUAGAAUCACGCAAUAUGGUAACCUCCCCACCUUAUUCCCCUCUCACGAAUAGACUAUGCAUUAAUGGUUUUAUAUAUUUUGGUGCUUGGGCUCCAAGACCAAGAACGAAUCCGGUGAUUGUCUGUUUUGAUGUUAGACAUGAGAAGAUAAGUUUUAUCAAAAUGCCUAAGGAUAUCCUGAUGAGUUAUUCAGUGUUGAUAGAAUACAAAGGGAAGUUAGCUUCCAUUGUUAGACACCAACCUUUGAGCUUCCGCAGUUUUGAUUUAUGGAUUUUAGAGGACGUGAAGAAAGGUGUCUGGUCCAAGCAAACAUUUGACCUUUCUUACGAUUUGGUGAAUAUGACUUCCCCGGGCACCAACAAGGCUGGUGAAAUCAUUUUUGCUCCAACAAAACUGUCACAUUGUGCACAACCUUUCUACAUUUUCCACUACAAUACUCAAAAAAAAGACUUGAGAAGAGUUCGGAUCCAUGGGAUUGCUGACGAUGAAGGUUUUAGGCGCCAUUAUGGACUGGUGAGCGAUUGUAAUGUCUCUGUCUCACCCGAACAUGUUGAAAGUAUUGCCUUUUUAUAAAUGUGUUUUGUUUAUGGAUGUAAGACUUCGUCAAACUCUGGUGUUUAUUUCAAUCAAUAUUCAAGUGUUACCUUAGGAAUGAUAUGAUUUGCAAUAGCUGACAUAUGUGUGUGUUUGUUUUGUUAUGAUGUUGCUCAAGUGUUGGAAACUCAAUGCCAUACUUGAAGGCAUGAAUUCCAGAACUUGUUUACUUAAUCCACUAGCAGUGGUAAUUAGCAAACGCAUUUAUCUCUGUGACAUAUAUAACACCCAAGUUCACCCAACUAUAGUCCAACCCUCCCCUAUUUUUAACUCUAUAAUAGCAUUUAAAGAUAAAAUCAUUCCAAUCCACCUCUAUUUUUACCUCUAAAAUAGAGAUUGCUAUUUUUUCCUCUAUUUAUAGAGGAAGAAAUAACAUUCCUCUAUAUUUUGCUCUAUAUGUUGAGAUUUCUAUUUUAGAGAAAUACAUUGGAAUCGGAAGAAGAUUACUAGAUUUGUAGUCACACCAAAAGAAACUCCUUUGCAAAGUUGAAUCUAGGGUUUGCUUGGAACGUAAGGAGAGAGAUGGCAACGAGGACGAUGAGAGCGAUAAGAGGCCAAGUAAGCUACAUCCGAUCCCUUUAGAUCUAGAGGUAGAGAUAAUGAACAUAUUGCCUGUAAAGUCUCUUAUGAGGUCCCGAUGCGUGUCGAAGGUGUGGUCUUCCAUCAUCCGAAGCCAAGGGUUCGUCCAUGCUUACUACGGUAUGUCCGCUGCAACCUGAUCCCGGUUUAUAGUCGCUUUCAGCAACAGUGCAUACAUCAGGAGUGGUGCAGAGCGUCUGUUCAUAUUCUCUUCUUCACUCCAGGAGGGAGAGGAAUCUUCUUCUUUGGUUGCCAAUAUCGACAUGACAAUACCUUUGUUGAGCUUGUGUCACUUUUCCAGGUGUCAUUCCGUCUGUGGCUUUAUCGUUUGUUGUUAUGGUUUUCAGUUACAUUGCCAUGUAAAGGAAACCGCACAUCCUUAGGAUACGAUCCUAUUGAUGGUCAAUUCAAAGCAUUGACCCACCCUGGUGCCUACUCCUGACCUGCAGGGUAAUAAUAGUUUUCGACUGCACGAGGUUAUCAGACUUGGAGGCGGCCGAGGAGGACGAGGAGCAAAAUCUCGUAAUGAGUUAACCUCCCCGCCUUAUUGCCCUCUAACGGAAGGACUAUGCAUUAAUGGUUUUAUGUAUAGUGGGGCUUGGGCCCCAAGACCGAAUCUGGUGAUUGUUUGUUUUGAUGUUAGACAUGAGAAUAUAAGUUUUAACAAAAUGCCUAAGGAUGUCCUGAUUAUGCUGAGUUAUUCAGUGUUGAUAGAAUACAAAGGGAAGUUAGCUUCCAUGGUUAGACACCGAUCUUUGAGCUUCCGCAGUUUUGAUAUAUGGAUUUUAGAGGAUGUGAAGAAAGGUGACUGGUCCAAGCAAACAUUUGAGCUUCCUUACGAUUUGGUGAAUAUGACUUCCCCCGGUACUAACAAGGCUGGUGAAAUCAUUUUUGCUCCAAAAGAACUGUCACGUGAUGCACAACCCUUCUACAUUUUAUACUACAAUAUUGAAAGAAAAGACUUGAGAAGAGUUUGGAUCCAUGGGAUUGCUGAAGAUGAAGGUUUUAGGCGCCGUUAUGGACUGGUGAGCGAUUGCAAUGUCUCUGUCUCACCCCAACAUGUUGAAAGUAUUGCCUUUUUAUAAAUGUAUUUUAUGUAUUUUGGUUUGUUUCUCAAACCCGGUUUACAAGAGUUAAAUAGAGACUGCGUUGCUUAUAAAACCCGAUUAAAGGUUUAAGAUAAUUUGAACGAUUAUGAAGAAUGGAAAUAAGGGAAUUGGAGAGGUAAAGAAAGAGGGAGUUCAGAGAGAUGAACGUGGACAUGUGGUGUUUUUUUAAAAAACUUAGGGUUGAAAUCAAACAGUCAGUUCACCUAUACCGAACCGAAUGUUGAAUUAAAAUAUUCACAUUGCCAAUCGGUUUGGAGUGAGAAACUGCCGCCAAACCGCAUUGACCAAAUAAGAUAUUUAAGAGCCGGUUUUUAACUUUUUUAGUUAAAAGUUAGGAGACGGUUUUUUAUAUUUCGCUAAAAAUUCCACUCUAAAAACCCCCCAUUAAUCGUGCUAUAAGAGUGUGAGGUUCCGAAAACUAAAUGAGUGAGACUGAUGAUUCUAUGUUAUAUUAUUUAUCAUUAUUGAAGUAUCAGCUUGUAAACAUAAAUUUAUGUUUACAAGAGAUGAUAGACUGUGCCAGCAAAGUAAUAUAUAUAUAUAUAUUAUUGCCAAAAGAAACCUUGAUGUGAGUUCGUCUUCCUCUAAUGAACAUACUCUUUUUUUUUUUGAUCAAAAUGAACAUACUCUUUUUAUCCGUCUCCAUCUCUCUUGUGUCUUUAUGGUUUUCUUCAUUUCUUUGAUGAGUGGAGUGUAGACAAUAUAUUAUUUAAUUCAAUUUUGUAACUAGCUUCUUUUUUUAACACAUUUUUUGUACACAUUUUUGUAACUAGCUAGUUAGCUGUUUAUUCACGGUUUCCUUUGAACAUGCAAAAAAAAAGAAAAAUAUCUUAUUUAACAUAUACUAGUAUUUAAAUAAAUCUAACAGUACUUUGAAAAUAUCCUAUACAUUUCGUCUAGUUUUUUUAGAUAAAAUGUAGAAUAAAUCGAAACUCUGAAGUGACAGAAAAGACCUUAUGGUCAACCUUUUGUGACAAAAAAGUGUUUGGAGAUAUCUCAGCAGCUUGGUCAACUACUCAGCAAACAAAGAAGAUGUUGUGGUACGAAACAUCAGUUUUAUUUUCCGUUUCUUCUUUGGUUAGCCUUUUCACACGGGGUGUGAAAAAACAAUUCUAUUGGUUUCUUGAGCAUAAUUAAAGAAAAACACCACCAGGACCUAACAAUAUCAAACACGAAAGAUCACAAAACAACAGAGACCCGAAGAUCAUAUAAUAAUCAUACAAGAGAAAUUAAAACCUUGGAGAUUCUGAUAACAAUGUCCAGGGGGAAACAAGGGACUCGUAACCAUGUAACAGAUACCAUGUGUUUUGUACGUUUGUUAUUGAAUGAGCGUUCGAUCCGGUUUAAUGUCUAAAUGCCGUUCGGUUUACUUUGGUUUUCUGUUUUCCGGUAUAUAAAAAUUUGGACCAUCUGAAUGAAACAAAUGGAGAGCAACAUAUGGUAGUCUCAGUUUCAACUGGGAUCAGGUUUUAUCACAAUGUCUCUUCCAAAGUUUUUCUUUGCCAACAACUUCCAAUGUUUGUUUUUGGGUGUAAAUUUUAAUACCAAAGUUUAGUAUCCUGUUUUUGGACAGCUUUCCAAACAGAUUGGUUUACCAUCCGGUUCAGUAAGAUUGCUCCGACACAAAACGUUUGUAGAUCUGUCUUUAUCAAGGUGACCUCAAAUUUUAAGGGAAAAAAAAAAAAAGGAAGCUCCUUUGGUUUGUCAAAGUAUAAAUAUUGAUGAAGUAGGCAGUAGUGAUUCUCUCUGAUUUACCCCAAUCGAGUCGAAUUUGGAGUUUCAGCCAUGAAACGCAAGGAACAUGAGAAGGACAGGUUCUGCAGCAGUCGAACUAUGUUACAACGGAUCCCUCUUGAUCUGAAGAAGAUGACUAGAUUGCAGGUUAAACCACACCAAAAGAAACCCCUUUGCAAAGUCGAAUCCAGGGUUUGCUUGGAACGCAAGGAGAGAGAACGUAACGAGGACGAUGAGAGCGUCAAGAGGCCAAGUAAGCUACUACAUUCGAUCCCUUUAGAUCUAGAGGUGGAGAUAAUGACCAGAUUGCCUGUAAAGUCUCUUAUGAGGUCCCGAUGCGUGUCAAAGACGUGGUCUUCCAUCAUCCGAAGCCAAGGGUUCGCCGAUGCUUACUACGCUAUGUCCUCCUCUGCAACCCGAUCCCGGUUUACAGUCGCUUUCAGCAACAGUGUAUUUGUCAAGGGUGAUGCCCAGCGUCUGUUCAUCUUCUCGUCUUCGCAUGAAUCUUCUUCUUUGGCUGCCAAUCUCCACAUGACUAUACCUUCGUUGAGCUUGUCUCACGUCUCCGAUUGUCCUUCCGUCCAUGGCUUUGUCGGUUGUUGUCAUGGUUUUCAGUUCAC